Molecule: long non-coding RNA, 573 nt
Filed under: Anser brachyrhynchus (Pink-footed goose)
Lineage: Eukaryota; Metazoa; Chordata; Aves; Anseriformes; Anatidae
Description: lncRNA (ENSABRG00000020037.1)
Source: RNAcentral
GUCGGUGUUAGGCCUCAAGGAGCCUGCCAAGUGCUUGUCUGUGCUGACCUCGACCUGCCUGUGAGGGAUCUGGUUUGUGUUUAUGAAAAUACAGGGGAAAAAAAAGAUGCUGUGAAAGUGAAGAACAUAUUGUUAAGAAUGAGAAUUUCCUGGCAGGCAGUCCUUCGAGGUCAUUUUAAUUUUCCAGACAUCUUCAUCAGCUGUUAUAAACCAAUAGCAGUUAUUACUUGGAAAUGGAAAUUAUUGAAAACGUAUAGAGAAAUUCCAAGGAUCCUGACACUGAGGCUUGUCAUGGCAGCUUCUUUUGUAAACAGUUUGUACAGUGAGUCUAUGCAGAAUCCUACAAAUCCUGUGAAACUAAGGCUGGGGAGAGAAAGAGAAGGAAACCUAUUUUUCAGAGUUCAUGUCUGGUUGGAGACUGCGUUGAUAAGAAGUAGAUGGUGUUCAGUUCUGCUUCUUAAACAGCAAUCUACUUGCUCUGCAGGUGUAAAAGCUCCAUCUCCAAUGCAGUACAUCGUGUGUGAAACAACCUCACUGUGUGUGCCUGCAUGGCUGCCUCUGAGCUGGAGGUGA